This is a long non-coding RNA of Sander lucioperca (pikeperch), 476 nucleotides long. RefSeq lists it as uncharacterized. NCBI's taxonomy places the organism in Eukaryota, Metazoa, Chordata, Actinopteri, Perciformes, Percidae. The record is from RefSeq and is a predicted model, not a curated record. The transcript is spliced from 3 exons.
UGAAAUUCUUGUGAAUUAAUUGACUGUUUGACAGGGUCUGUCGCCCCAAGCCGAGGUAGCAGCUCGGGCUUUUGUGCAGUUAUUGGCCCGGGAGCUGUCCUCGGCCCCAAACGCACCGAGAGAGAGUACAGCAGUCAGGGCUGGAGGCAGUGCUCCUCUGCCGGUUAGCGAUGCUAUGGUGAGACAGGCUAUGAGAAGGCAGUUCCCGAGUAUGUUUAAUACUGAUCAGCCAAGAGGAAAACGACGAUUCUCGACCCCUGCCCCUUGCAUUGUGAAAAGGACAGACUUUCAUAUGUAUGUCCUUUCGGAACCCAGUCAGUUCACACCAAAGGGCUCAGAAGAGCUAGAACUUGCCCAUGCUGGCCUUGGGAAGAGGAUGUUAAGUAUACCAGACCACUUGAAACACAAUAAGAUUGUAGCUCUACUUGAGGAGGAAUUUCCUAAACUGAAGACCUUACAAGGAGGUUGGAUGUUUU